This 737-nucleotide ribosomal RNA is filed under the name bacterium IMCC8600. RNAcentral's name for it is "bacterial SSU rRNA". It matches the Rfam family "Bacterial small subunit ribosomal RNA", at positions 28 to 746 of the family's 1533-position model. The record is from RNAcentral.
GACGAACGCUGGCGGCGUGCCUAAUACAUGCAAGUCGAGCGGACCGAAGGGAGCUUUCUCCUUUAGGUUAGCGGCGGACGGGCGAGUAACACGCGGGCAACUUGCCCUGCAGACUGGGAUAACUUCGGGAAACCGGAGCUAAUACCGGAUAACACCGAAAUCCGCAUGGUUUUCGGUUGAAAGGCGGCUUUUAGCUGUCACUGCAGGAUGGGCCCGCGGCGCAUUAGCUAGUUGGUGAGGUAACGGCUCACCAAGGCGACGAUGCGUAGCCGACCUGAGAGGGUGACCGGCCACACUGGGACUGAGACACGGCCCCGACUCCUACGGGAGGCAGCAGUAGGGAAUUUUUCGCAAUGGACGAAAGUCUGACGGAGCAACGCCGCGUGAGCGAAGAAGGUCUUCGGAUCGUAAAGCUCUGUUGUCAGGGAAGAACAAGUACCGUUCGAACAGGGCGGUACCUUGACGGUACCUGACGAGGAAGCCACGGCUAACUACGUGCCAGCAGCCGCGGUAAUACGUAGGUGGCAAGCGUUGUCCGGAAUUAUUGGGCGUAAAGCGCGCGCAGGCGGUUCCUUAAGUCUGAUGUGAAAUCUCGCGGCUCAACCGCGAGCGGCCAUUGGAAACUGGGGAACUUGAGUGCAGGAGAGGGGAGCGGAAUUCCACGUGUAGCGGUGAAAUGCGUAGAGAUGUGGAGGAACACCAGUGGCGAAGGCGGCUCUCUGGCCUGUAACUGACGC